This 328-nucleotide ribosomal RNA is filed under the name uncultured eukaryote. RNAcentral describes it as "partial 18S ribosomal RNA". It matches the Rfam family "Eukaryotic small subunit ribosomal RNA", at positions 1470 to 1796 of the family's 1831-position model. The record is from RNAcentral.
CCCUUAGAUGUUCGGGGCUGCACACGCGCUACACUGGAGGAAACAGCGUGUAUUGACCUGGUCCGAAAGGACUGGGUAAACCUGUGAAACUUCUCCGUGCUUGGGAUAGCGGAUUGCAAUUGUUUCGCUCCAACGAGGAAUUCCUAGUAAGCGUAAGUCAUAAGCUUGCGCUGAUUACGUCCCUGCCCUUUGUACACACCGCCCGUCGCACCUACUGAUUGAAUGACUCGGUGAAAAAUCGGGACUGCGAGAACAAUCGAUUAAUUUCGAAUGUACUUGUGGGAACUUUUUUUAACCUCGCCAUUUAGAAGAAGGUGAAGUCGUAACA